AACGGCCGUACCAUGCUGAAUAUACCGGUUCUCGUUAGAUCACCGAAGUGAAACAUCAUUGGGCGCGGUCAGUACUUGGGUGGGUGACCACCUGGGAACACUGCGUGCCGU
This is a non-coding RNA of Caerostris darwini, 111 nucleotides long. NCBI's taxonomy places the organism in Eukaryota, Metazoa, Arthropoda, Arachnida, Araneae, Araneidae. The record is from the annotation of a GenBank genome assembly.